GGACGAUUGGCGCAGUGGUAGCGCACUUCCUUGACAUGGAAGGGGUCACUGGUUCGAACCCAGUAUCGUCCACCA
RNAcentral lists this transfer RNA (75 nucleotides) under Actinomycetes bacterium. Its description in RNAcentral is "tRNA-Val". It matches the Rfam family "tRNA". Rfam says of the family: Transfer RNA (tRNA) molecules are approximately 80 nucleotides in length. Lineage: Bacteria; Bacillati; Actinomycetota; Actinomycetes. The record is from RNAcentral. RNAcentral also lists the same sequence under 4 other names.